RNAcentral lists this ribosomal RNA (253 nucleotides) under uncultured bacterium. RNAcentral's name for it is "partial 16S ribosomal RNA". It matches the Rfam family "Bacterial small subunit ribosomal RNA", at positions 524 to 776 of the family's 1533-position model. The record is from RNAcentral.
UACGUAGGGUGCUAGCGUUGUUCGGAAUUACUGGGCGUAAAGCGUGCGCAGGCGGUUUUGUAAGUCUGUCGUGAAAGCCCCGGGCUCAACCUGGGAAUUGCGAUGGAGACUGCAAGGCUAGAAUCUGGCAGAGGGGGGUAGAAUUCCACGUGUAGCAGUGAAAUGCGUAGAGAUGUGGAGGAACACCGAUGGCGAAGGCAGCCCCCUGGGUCAAGAUUGACGCUCAUGCACGAAAGCGUGGGGAGCAAACAGG